CAACACCCUGUCACAACGAGACGGCUCCAACACCCUGUCACAACGAGACGGCUCCAACACCCUGUCACAACGAGACGGCUCCAACACCCUGUCACAACGAGACGGCUCCAACACCCUGUCACAACGAGACGGCUCCAACACCCUGUCACAACGAGACGGCUCCAACACCCUGUCACAACGAGACGGCUCCAACACUCUGUCACGGAGAGACGGCUCCAACACCCUGUACAUUUCAAGAGGAGCUCCGGGACCGACCUCUGGACUAGAGACCCCGUGGAGGGUGGGAAGGAUUGUCCUGAGGCGACCCACUCCAGGCAGCUCUGAUGGUUGUUCCCACUAUCUCUAGACCUCCAGAGAACAUCCGAACCAGGAGCCCCCGCACACGACUGUACCCUGCCAGGAGCCCCCGCACACGACUGUACCCUGCCAGGAGCCCCCGCACACGACUGUACCCUGCCAGGAGCCCCCGCACACGACUGUACCCUGCCAGGUCGCCAACACCAAGCCUUCUGCACAAGGCCUGGUCCUCAUCUCAUCCUACUGUGUAGGGGUUUAUGUGAAUACUGUUUUGUGUGUGUGUGUGUGUGAGCGCGCACACUUCCCUUUCGCCACCUGUAAUCUUCGGUCCCUCGAACAAACCUCUUGUAUCAGUUGUUUUUAUUGAGGCAGGGGAGUAUCAGUUACAGAGUAGAGUUCGUGGGCAGCAGUAAAUCACAGUGCGUGUGUGAAAGUAGAGACACUCACGGCUAUUGAAGUGGAGGCCGUUGUCCUGUGGGAGCUGUAGUGGAGGGGGAUCUGGCUGGAUAGGGGCAGCAUUCAUAAUGUGAAAUGAUAUCCCCAGGACCUGAGCAUAAGGGUCAAACGAAACCGCCUACAAACCUGCUGAGCAUGCAUCAAUUCAGGCCUAUGUACUGCCAACGUACUGUAGGAAUGCCAAGGUUAAGAUGAUGUACUGCCAACGUACUGUAGGAAUGCCAAGGUUAAGAUGAUGUACUGCCAACGUACUGUAGGAAUGCCAAGGUUAAGAUGAUGUACUGCCAACGUACUGUAGGAAUGCCAAGGUUAAGAUGAUGUACUGCCAACGUACUGUAGGAAUGCCAAGGUUAAGAUGAUGUACUGCCAACGUACUGUAGGAAUGCCAAGGUUAAGAUGAUGUACUGCCAACGUACUGUAGGAAUGCCAAGGUUAAGAUGAUGUACUGCCAACGUACUGUAGGAAUGCCAAGGUUAAGAUGAUGUACUGCCAACGUACUGUAGGAAUGCCAAGGUUAAGAUGAUGUACUGCCAACGUACUGUAAGAAUGCCAAGGUUAAGAUGAUGUACUGCCAUAUGCUGUUGAUAUACAGUGUCUUCAAAGUUUUCACAUUGUGUUGUUUUACAGCCUGCAUUUAAAAAUAGAUUAAAUGCAGAUUUUAUGUCACUAAUAAAUACAUGUUUACCAAUAGUGUCAAAGUGGAAUUAUGUUUUUAGAAAUGAAAUUCCGAAUGAAAAUAUGAAAU
Molecule: long non-coding RNA, 1498 nt
Organism: Oncorhynchus keta (chum salmon)
Lineage: Eukaryota; Metazoa; Chordata; Actinopteri; Salmoniformes; Salmonidae
Exons: 4
Source: RefSeq, a predicted model, not a curated record